CUCUUUCUCUCAGCUGUCGGCCCCCGAGUUUAACGCUAUACAUCUGUCCCUCCCAGACCAUGAGAGGAUGGUUGACUUCUCUUUCCAGGUGCCGCCUUUCACUUCCUCUCACCUCGAUUUAGUUCAGGACUUUUUGUUGUUUUGCAUUUUGGGACAAGUAGGAAGACAGAAUUUCAAGGUGGACAUCGUGGAUUACAAUUGCACAAAGUAGAGCCUGGCUUCUUUGUGGAGAGUCCAGAUGCAGCUGAUUUUGUCCCUCUGGGGCUACGUGGUAUCUUCUCUCAGCACCUCUCACCUACUUUACUCUUCUCUUUGAACGCUGGAUUCCUAUAACUGUUCCAGAAUGAAAGCCUCGGCCCCAUGUCUUGACCUUCCAGUUUGAUCCGUGUAGCAAACCGUUUCCCAGUACGAGUUUUCUGGAAGAGAAUUCUGAUUUGUCAAACAUGGGUGCCAUUCAUUAGAGGGACAGUGACCAAUGACAUCCAUUACGCACGGCCAUGAAUAUUUAUCUAGUGCCUUAUCCCUGUACCAGAGAGAAUAGGAAAAGAGUUAUGAAGAGGCUUUUCUUCCACACCAGAUGACCAGUGUCCUUCCUCAGCUCAACUGAA
Molecule: non-coding RNA, 608 nt
Organism: Globicephala melas (long-finned pilot whale)
Lineage: Eukaryota; Metazoa; Chordata; Mammalia; Artiodactyla; Delphinidae
Source: RefSeq, a predicted model, not a curated record